AGUGAACGCUGGCGGUAGGCCUAACACAUGCAAGUCGAACGGCAGCACAGUAAGAGCUUGCUCUUACGGGUGGCGAGUGGCGGACGGGUGAGGAAUACAUCGGAAUCUACUUUUUCGUGGGGGAUAACGUGGGGAAACUUACGCUAAUACCGCAUACGACCUACGGGUGAAAGCAGGGGAUCUUCGGACCUUGCGCGAUUGAAUGAGCCGAUGUCGGAUUAGCUAGUUGGCGGGGUAAAGGCUCACCAAGGCGACGAUCCGUAGCUGGUCUGAGAGGAUGAUCAGCCACACUGGAACUGAGACACGGUCCAGACUCCUACGGGAGGCAGCAGUGGGGAAUAUUGGACAAUGGGCGCAAGCCUGAUCCAGCCAUACCGCGUGGGUGAAGAAGGCCUUCGGGUUGUAAAGCCCUUUUGUUGGGAAAGAAAAGCAGCAGGUUAAUACCCCGCUGUUCUGACGGUACCCAAAGAAUAAGCACCGGCUAACUUCGUG
This 492-nucleotide ribosomal RNA is filed under the name uncultured bacterium. RNAcentral describes it as "partial 16S ribosomal RNA". It matches the Rfam family "Bacterial small subunit ribosomal RNA", at positions 29 to 507 of the family's 1533-position model. The record is from RNAcentral.